Pangasianodon gigas (Mekong giant catfish) is the source of this 74-nucleotide non-coding RNA. Lineage: Eukaryota; Metazoa; Chordata; Actinopteri; Siluriformes; Pangasiidae. The record is from the annotation of a GenBank genome assembly.
GGCAGUGGCAGCUCAGUAGUUAAGAUGUUGAACUUCUGUUCAGAAGGUCAUGAGUUCAAAUCCCAGCACUGCCA